AAUCUGCAAGCCAGCUUCACCCCUCCCAUCGAGUUCUGGUCAGGAGGCUUCUGGUUGAGUUCAAAUUGCUAUAAAGUUCAGCUGGAGCCUUCCUUCUCCCUGUGGCCUUUUCCCAGUACCUCUGGCCACCCUCCCGAAGGACCUUUGUAAGGCCAGGCAAAAAUGGCUUGCUAGGGGACCCAGUGAUCUCCCAGGGCUUUUUCCAACUGCUUCCUCUUCCCCUAUAUUUUGCUUGGCUCUCUAAAUCGACUCAGCUCCAGGGUCUCCCUCUGUUGCCCAGGCUGGAGGACAGUGGUAUAAUCAUAGCUAACUGCAGCUUUGAACUCCUGAGAACAGCAAUCCUCCUUCCUCGGUCUUCCGCAGCAUUGGGAUUACAGGGAUUAUUGUGGAUUCCUGAGAAUUUUCUACAUAUGAAAUCAUGUCAUCUAUGAACAGAGACACGGUGCAUUUAUGCACACAUUCGACUGCACCACUGCUGCUGGUGAGAGCACACCCUGCCACCCCACCCUGCUAAUGCACAAGCAACCAGCUGCACCAUCAUUGCCAGCAUGAAUGUGCAAUCAGAUAUCAGCAACCCUGCCA
This 582-nucleotide long non-coding RNA is filed under the name Homo sapiens (human). RNAcentral's name for it is "HSALNT0376630". Lineage: Eukaryota; Metazoa; Chordata; Mammalia; Primates; Hominidae. The record is from RNAcentral.